AUUGAACGCUGGCGGCAGGCUUAACACAUGCAAGUCGAGCGGGGUGAUGGUGCUUGCACUAUCACUUAGCGGCGGACGGGUGAGUAAUGCUUAGGAAUCUGCCUAUUAGUGGGGGACAACAUCUCGAAAGGGAUGCUAAUACCGCAUACGUCCUACGGGAGAAAGCAGGGGAUCACUUGUGACCUUGCGCUAAUAGAUGAGACUAAGUCGGAUUAGCUAGUUAGUGGGGUAAAGGCCUACCAAGGCGACGAUCUGUAGCGGGUCUGAGAGGAUGAUCCGCCACACUGGGACUGAGACACGGCCCAGACUCCUACGGGAGGCAGCAGUGGGGAAUAUUGGACAAUGGGGGGAACCCUGAUCCAGCCAUGCCGCGUGUGUGAAGAAGGCCUUAUGGUUGUAAAGCACUUUAAGCGAGGAGGAGGCUCGUUUGGUUAAUACCCAAGAUGAGUGGACGUUACUCGCAGAAUAAGCACCGGCUAACUCUGUGCCAGCCGCCGCGGUAA
Molecule: ribosomal RNA, 503 nt
Filed under: uncultured bacterium
Lineage: Bacteria
Description: partial 16S ribosomal RNA
Rfam family: Bacterial small subunit ribosomal RNA
Source: RNAcentral